GUGCAGCAGGCGCGAAACUUUACAAUGUGCGAAAGCACGAUAAGGGAACUCUGAGUGCCUCCUAAGGAGGCUGUUCAGGUGUCUAAAAGCACCUGAAGGAAGGGCUGGGUAAGACCGGUGCCAGCCGCCGCGGUAACACCGGCAGCCCAAGUGGUAGCCACGUUUAUUGGGUCUAAAGCGUCCGUAGCCGGCGUGGGUAAGUUCCUUGGGAAAUUUGGCUGCUUAACAGUCAAGCUUUCAGGGAAUACUGCCCGGCUUGGGACCGGGAGAGGUCAGAGGUACUCCGAGGGGUAGGGGUGAAAUCCAUUAAUCCUUGGGGGACCACCGGUAGCGAAGGCGUCUGACCAGGACCGGGUCCGACGGUGAGGGACGAAGGCUAGGGGGCGCGAACCGG
Molecule: ribosomal RNA, 394 nt
Filed under: uncultured microorganism
Description: bacterial SSU rRNA
Rfam family: Archaeal small subunit ribosomal RNA
Source: RNAcentral